This 459-nucleotide ribosomal RNA is filed under the name uncultured bacterium. RNAcentral describes it as "partial 16S ribosomal RNA". It matches the Rfam family "Bacterial small subunit ribosomal RNA", at positions 338 to 795 of the family's 1533-position model. The record is from RNAcentral.
CCUACGGGUGGCAGCAGUGAGGAAUAUUGGUCAAUGGCCGAGAGGCUGAACCAGCCAAGUCGCGUGAGGGAAGACGGCCCUACGGGUUGUAAACCUCUUUUGUCGGGGAGCAAAGCGAGUCACGUGUGGCUCAUUUAGAGUACCCGAAGAAAAAGCAUCGGCUAACUACGUGCCAGCAGCCGCGGUAAUACGGAGGAUGCGAGCGUUAUCCGGAUUUUUUGGGGUUUAAGGGUGCGCAGGCGGAGGUGCAAGUCAGCGGUAAAAUUGCGGGGCUCAACCCCGUACUGCCGUUGAAACUGCAGCCCUUGAGUGGGCGAGAAGUAUGCGGAAUGCGUGGUGUAGCGGUGAAAUGCAUAGAUAUCACGCAGAACUCCGAUUGCGAAGGCAGCAUACCGGCGCGCAACUGACGCUCAUGCACGAAAGCGUGGGUAUCGAACAGGAUUAGAUACCCGUGUAGUC